Equus quagga is the source of this 628-nucleotide long non-coding RNA. RefSeq lists it as uncharacterized. The record is from RefSeq and is a predicted model, not a curated record. Lineage: Eukaryota; Metazoa; Chordata; Mammalia; Perissodactyla; Equidae. The transcript is spliced from 3 exons.
CUCAGGACAAGAUGAGGGUCCGCGAUGUGUGGCUGGGCUUCAAGCGGCCCAGGAGCUGCCGGGCUUUCUCCUGCAUGAAGAGCUGGUCCCUGGUCCCCCCGCAGGCCACCGUCUUCCAGGCGCUGGUCAUCUGGGAGGAGAAGCCCCAAGUCUUUUUGUGCUCUCUCCACCUUCCCGGUGGCCCUGGGGAAGUCAUUCCCAUCUCAGCUGUAAAGCAAGGAGGAUGAGCCAGACAACACGGCCACCCUCCAUGCUCUCCGUGUGGCACCAGUCUCCACGUGAGGAAAAGCUGCAGCCACGGAGGCUGGUGAGGAGGAGGGGCGAGGAGUUCAUACAUACAGACGCUGAGAUCUGGACAGCCCAGGGCAGCCCCUGCCCUCAAGGACAGACACGUGCUAAGCCACCAAAUAGAGACAGUGACCUGAUUACAAGAGCUGGGCUGCCCUGAUGGAAGCCGGGGGCUGCCCAGCCCGACCGCCCCCAUCAGCCCCCUCCCUGCUGGCCCAGCACCCCGAAGCCGUCUGACAACCACCGGACCACUCCACCUCCAGGGCCCUCUCCACAGCUACAGGGUUCCAGGGGCAGAAGAGCCCUCGGCAGCUCUGGGCGGACUGGCUGAGUGCGCGGC